GCUCCGGUGGAACAAGUGGUUAAGCAUUUGGCUGCUAACCGAAAGGUUGGUGGUUCAAAUCCACCCAGCAGCU
This 73-nucleotide transfer RNA is filed under the name Loxodonta africana (African savanna elephant). It matches the Rfam family "tRNA". Rfam says of the family: Transfer RNA (tRNA) molecules are approximately 80 nucleotides in length. Their secondary structure includes four short double-helical elements and three loops (D, anti-codon, and T loops). The record is from Rfam by way of RNAcentral. Lineage: Eukaryota; Metazoa; Chordata; Mammalia; Proboscidea; Elephantidae.